RNAcentral lists this ribosomal RNA (1542 nucleotides) under Salmonella enterica subsp. enterica serovar Thompson. Its description in RNAcentral is "bacterial SSU rRNA". It matches the Rfam family "Bacterial small subunit ribosomal RNA". RNAcentral also lists the same sequence under 7 other names. The record is from RNAcentral. Lineage: Bacteria; Pseudomonadati; Pseudomonadota; Gammaproteobacteria; Enterobacterales; Enterobacteriaceae.
AAAUUGAAGAGUUUGAUCAUGGCUCAGAUUGAACGCUGGCGGCAGGCCUAACACAUGCAAGUCGAACGGUAACAGGAAGCAGCUUGCUGCUUCGCUGACGAGUGGCGGACGGGUGAGUAAUGUCUGGGAAACUGCCUGAUGGAGGGGGAUAACUACUGGAAACGGUGGCUAAUACCGCAUAACGUCGCAAGACCAAAGAGGGGGACCUUCGGGCCUCUUGCCAUCAGAUGUGCCCAGAUGGGAUUAGCUAGUUGGUGAGGUAACGGCUCACCAAGGCGACGAUCCCUAGCUGGUCUGAGAGGAUGACCAGCCACACUGGAACUGAGACACGGUCCAGACUCCUACGGGAGGCAGCAGUGGGGAAUAUUGCACAAUGGGCGCAAGCCUGAUGCAGCCAUGCCGCGUGUAUGAAGAAGGCCUUCGGGUUGUAAAGUACUUUCAGCGGGGAGGAAGGUGUUGUGGUUAAUAACCGCAGCAAUUGACGUUACCCGCAGAAGAAGCACCGGCUAACUCCGUGCCAGCAGCCGCGGUAAUACGGAGGGUGCAAGCGUUAAUCGGAAUUACUGGGCGUAAAGCGCACGCAGGCGGUCUGUCAAGUCGGAUGUGAAAUCCCCGGGCUCAACCUGGGAACUGCAUUCGAAACUGGCAGGCUUGAGUCUUGUAGAGGGGGGUAGAAUUCCAGGUGUAGCGGUGAAAUGCGUAGAGAUCUGGAGGAAUACCGGUGGCGAAGGCGGCCCCCUGGACAAAGACUGACGCUCAGGUGCGAAAGCGUGGGGAGCAAACAGGAUUAGAUACCCUGGUAGUCCACGCCGUAAACGAUGUCUACUUGGAGGUUGUGCCCUUGAGGCGUGGCUUCCGGAGCUAACGCGUUAAGUAGACCGCCUGGGGAGUACGGCCGCAAGGUUAAAACUCAAAUGAAUUGACGGGGGCCCGCACAAGCGGUGGAGCAUGUGGUUUAAUUCGAUGCAACGCGAAGAACCUUACCUGGUCUUGACAUCCACAGAAGAAUCCAGAGAUGGAUUUGUGCCUUCGGGAACUGUGAGACAGGUGCUGCAUGGCUGUCGUCAGCUCGUGUUGUGAAAUGUUGGGUUAAGUCCCGCAACGAGCGCAACCCUUAUCCUUUGUUGCCAGCGGUCCGGCCGGGAACUCAAAGGAGACUGCCAGUGAUAAACUGGAGGAAGGUGGGGAUGACGUCAAGUCAUCAUGGCCCUUACGACCAGGGCUACACACGUGCUACAAUGGCGCAUACAAAGAGAAGCGACCUCGCGAGAGCAAGCGGACCUCAUAAAGUGCGUCGUAGUCCGGAUUGGAGUCUGCAACUCGACUCCAUGAAGUCGGAAUCGCUAGUAAUCGUGGAUCAGAAUGCCACGGUGAAUACGUUCCCGGGCCUUGUACACACCGCCCGUCACACCAUGGGAGUGGGUUGCAAAAGAAGUAGGUAGCUUAACCUUCGGGAGGGCGCUUACCACUUUGUGAUUCAUGACUGGGGUGAAGUCGUAACAAGGUAACCGUAGGGGAACCUGCGGUUGGAUCACCUCCUUA